This 253-nucleotide ribosomal RNA is filed under the name uncultured bacterium. Its description in RNAcentral is "partial 16S ribosomal RNA". It matches the Rfam family "Bacterial small subunit ribosomal RNA", at positions 524 to 776 of the family's 1533-position model. The record is from RNAcentral.
UACGUAGGGGGCAAGCGUUAUCCGGAUUUACUGGGUGUAAAGGGAGCGUAGACGGUAUGGCAAGUCUGAUGUGAAAACCCGGGGCUCAACCCCGGGACUGCAUUGGAAACUGUCGGACUAGAGUGUCGGAGAGGCAAGCGGAAUUCCUAGUGUAGCGGUGAAAUGCGUAGAUAUUAGGAGGAACACCAGUGGCGAAGGCAGCUUACCAGACUGUUACUGACGCUGAAGCACGAGAGCGUGGGUAGCGAACAGG